CAAAUCUAAAAUGUUUUAAAAUUACAGAGCCACCCCCAUGACUACUUUAUUCUUCAUGUGUAGGCAAUGGCGUAAUAUGUACAGUCAUGUGGGACCUGGAAAGACAAGUAGUUGGAGGUUGGAAGACAUUUGGAAGGUUUUGUAGACACAACUGGCAUUCUCUUGGUAGAUCAUAAAUUGGUAGCUCCUCCCCAUAGUUCCACACCUUUAGCGCCGCUAGCUGCAUGAGUCUUGGAACCUGUCCGUCAGGUGUACUGGUAACUCCCUCAAUUACUGCUGGGCUGAAUGACCUUUGUCCCUCCAGUGCAGAUGUUCCCUUGCCAGAAGCCUUCCAGUGAAGUUUAAGUUUGUGACCAUUAGCUUUUAUUGACUGAAUCAUAUAUGAUCUGACUGGAAUUCCAAGAAGCUUUAAGACCGAAUGCCAGAAAUGACUUUGGUAUCUCUGAGCAGCUCCCAUUCCAAACAACUUAGGAAAAGUGAACCACUCUGCUCCAUGAUCUUUGAUUACUUUAAGUGCUUCUUGUAACAUUGGCCUCUGCACUUGUUUUUAAAAAUGGUCAAUAGCUGCAGGGUCUUUCAAUGACAUCUUUACCUGUUGUGAUGUUAAAGGAAAAUGUUCUGAUGGAGACUUCAACAUUUCACUUAAAGUUUCAUGGUGCUUCAAAACAGUUGCUGGCCAUAACCAUGCUAGGUAAUCACUGGAAAAACCAAGUUCUGCAUCACUAGCUUGGGAUGUGUUCAGAGAUGGGAUGAUAAACUUGUCAAGGAAUUCAAACAAAAACUUGAUUUCAACUUGGAUCAUAGGACUUGAGCUCGUCUUAAUGACAUCUCGCAAUAUAUUGUGGUGGCUAUCUGAUUUUGGCAAUCUUUGAAGGAGAUGCUCAGCAAGCUGUAAACAAGUUUCUCCAUAUUUAAGAUACCACUGGAGAGUCUCAUGAUAAUACGUCCGCCUUGUGUCAAUGAAUGUCUGAGGAAGGGGUGGCUCUUUACUAAGAAUAGCUAGAGAAACAUACAUAAUUUUGUAUUGGCUUGGACGCUCAUGAUGGAGCCAAGAUAUUUUAUGGGGGUUACUCAUGUCACCCUUUUCCCCCAAACCCAGCCUGGCACAAUCUUCUCAGCAUGAUGUUUAGUACAUGUGGGUAGCAUCCCACAAAAAAAAAAUAUAUUUCCUUUCCAAAAAUUUUGGUGUUGUUUGCUAAGAGACCAUUUACUUUUCCCUUUUGGGUAGAGGCAUUGUCUCCAACCAACUGCGAAACAUUGGUGAUGUCAUAUUCGUUUUUCACAACGUGAUAAUCCAUGUCAGACUGGUGUUUUCUGGACCCGCCUGCUGUAAGGCUGUUUGCUAGGACGUAAGCUCGAGGCUUGCUCUCUAUAGGGCACCAGGUGUGAACACCCACUAUGUGCCUCUCUUCUCCUCCCUUGUGGGAGUCAUCGCUCCAGAGAUGAAAAUCGUACUUGGAGUUUGAAAAGCGCUUCAGUAAAAUUAGUUUGUCUGCUUCACCUAAGAGAACAUUCCAGUCAGAAAGUGUACUUGGAGAGACAACAAAGUUUGUUGGGGGGGCUACAGUCAAACAGAAUAUUGAAAAUCAGAUGUAAUACUACAGGUGUGUUUUGAUAAGAUAACAAAGAUGCAUGUUGCAUGUAUCUGACACAAGCCAUAAA
Molecule: long non-coding RNA, 1662 nt
Filed under: Stylophora pistillata
Lineage: Eukaryota; Metazoa; Cnidaria; Anthozoa; Scleractinia; Pocilloporidae
Description: uncharacterized LOC111333916
Source: RNAcentral